UUUUUUGGCCGCUCUCCCCCCCGGGUCGUGGCCCCCGGCCCGAUCCUGCCCCAUCCUGCUCCUGACCUUCAGCCUCCUCCUCCUCGCCGUCCUCACCUGCCUCAGCCUCUCCAGAGCGACGGCGGCGCUCGGGGAGCUGCGGGAAUUCCGGACACGGAACGAGCACAACACGGGCUGGAAAAACAUCUCCGAGCUCCAGCACGGCCUGGCGCGGCAGUUCCAGACUCUCCAGGGGCGGAUCCUGAACGGUAACGACCC
Molecule: long non-coding RNA, 258 nt
Organism: Corapipo altera (White-ruffed manakin)
Lineage: Eukaryota; Metazoa; Chordata; Aves; Passeriformes; Pipridae
Exons: 3
Source: RefSeq, a predicted model, not a curated record